AUCGAACGCUGGCGGCAGGCUUAACACAUGCAAGUCGAGCGAGCGGCGAACGGGUGAGUAAUGUGUGGGGGUUGCCCGUUAGAGGGGGGAAACUAUUGGAAAAGGUAGCUAAUACCGCAAACUGCCGGAUAACCCAUAUGGGAUUGGCUAGUAGGUGAGGUAAUGGCCCACCUAGGCGACGAUCCCUAGCUGGUCUGAGAGGCUGAUCAGCGACACGGGGACUGAGACACGGCCCAGACUCCUACGGAGGCAGCAGUAGGGAAUAUGGCGCAAUAGGCGCAAGCCUUAUGCAGCCAUGCCGCGUGUAUGAAGGAGGCCCUAGGGUUGUAAAGUACUUUCAGUCGGGAGACGUUACCGGCAGAAGAAGCACCGGCUAACUCCGUGCCAGCCGCCGCGGUAAUAC
RNAcentral lists this ribosomal RNA (403 nucleotides) under uncultured bacterium. RNAcentral describes it as "partial 16S ribosomal RNA". It matches the Rfam family "Bacterial small subunit ribosomal RNA", at positions 30 to 526 of the family's 1533-position model. The record is from RNAcentral.